GACGAACGCUGGCGGCGUGCUUAACACAUGCAAGUCGAGCGGUAAGGCCCUUUCGGGGGUACACGAGCGGCGAACGGGUGAGUAACACGUGGGUGACCUGCCCUUAGCUCUGGGAUAAGCCUGGGAAACUGGGUCUAAUACCGGAUAUGACUCCAUGACGCAUGUUGUGGGGUGGAAAGCCUUGUGCGGCUAGGGAUGGGCCCGCGGCCUAUCAGCUUGUUGGUGGGGUGAUGGCCUACCAAGGCGACGACGGGUAGCCGGCCUGAGAGGGCGACCGGCCACACUGGGACUGAGACACGGCCCAGACUCCUACGGGAGGGCAGCAGUGGGGAAUCUUGCGCAAUGGGCGAAAGCCUGACGCAGCGACGCCGCGUGAGGGAUGACGGCCUCGGUUGUAA
RNAcentral lists this ribosomal RNA (398 nucleotides) under uncultured bacterium. Its description in RNAcentral is "bacterial SSU rRNA". It matches the Rfam family "Bacterial small subunit ribosomal RNA", at positions 28 to 428 of the family's 1533-position model. The record is from RNAcentral.